GAUGAAGAACGUAGCGAAAUGCGAUACGUAAUGUGAAUUGCAGAAUUCAGUGAAUCAUCGAAUCUUUGAACGCAUAUUGCGCUCUCUGGUAUUCCGGAGAGCAUGCUUGUUUGAGUAUCAGUAAACACCUCAACUUCCAUAUCUUUUUUUGAAAUGGGAGUUGGACUUGAGUGAUCCCAACGCUUUUCCUCACCGAAAAGUGGCGGGUUACUUGAAAUGCAGGUGCAGCUGGACUUUUCUCUGAGCUAUAAGCAUAUCUAUUUAGUCUGCCUAAAAAACAGAUUAUUACCUUUGCUGCAGCUAACAUAAAGGAGAUUAGUUCUUGUGCUGACUGAUGCAGGAUUCACAAAGACAGCUUCGGCCGACUUUGUAAACUCGAUCUCAAAUCAAGUAAGACUACCCGCUGAACUUAAGCAUAUCAAUGAGCGGAGGA
This 433-nucleotide unclassified non-coding RNA is filed under the name soil metagenome. RNAcentral's name for it is "partial contains 5.8S ribosomal RNA, internal transcribed spacer 2, and large subunit ribosomal RNA". The stretch from base 1 to 120 matches the Rfam family "5.8S ribosomal RNA", at positions 35 to 154 of the family's 154-position model. The record is from RNAcentral.